AUGGCAUCAGAAAUCUUGUAAGUGCCUUGCCACAGACAAUCAAGAGACUGGUUCUUGUGUCAUCUAUUGGUGUUACAAAAUACAAUGAGAUACCAUGGAGCAUCAUGAAUCUGUUUGGUGUGCUCAAGUACAAGAAGAUGGGAGAAGACUUUGUUCGCAAUUCAGGAAUACCAUUCACGAUUAUCAUGUAUUCAGGCCUGGAAGAUUAACAGAUGGACCCUACACUUCAUAUGAUCUUAAUACACUUCUUAAAGCUACAACUGGGGAGCGACGAGCAGUAGUCAUAGGCAAAGGCGACAAGCUUGUGGGGGAAGUUAGUAGACUUGUGGUGGCAGAAGCUUGUAUCCAAGCUUUAGACAUUGAAUCUACUGAAGGACAAAUAUAUGAGAUUAAUUCAAUGAAGUUGCAGGCUUGCAGAUACUACCCAGAAUAAAAUGCAGAAAGAUCAUUUUCAAAGAUGCAGAAUGGAGCGCCAAUUGGCCAAUUUGGAAAGGUGAAGCGGUAGAAGAAGAGCUUUUACAAUAAACCCUAAACCCUUACAAUGCUAAUUUUGAUGGAGAUGAAAUGAAUUUGCAUGUCCCUCGGACGGAGGAAACUCGCACUGAAGCGCUUAUGCUCAUUGGGGUUCAGAAUAAUUUAUGUACUCCUAAGAAUGGUGAGAUAUUGGUUGCUUCCACGCAAGACUUCUUGACCUCAUCUUUCCUAUAUAUGUUUUCGAAUUAGAUUGGGAUGGAAAUUCACAUUUGUUUUCAUAUUUUCUGUUAGCAAGCACAACCAUUGUGACAUUAUUUUGCAUGCACUCAGCCUCCCACCAUGGCUAUGAGAAUGAAAUUCAACUUUUGGGUAUACCAAAAUGUUAUAGAAUCAAUAUAAUUAGAUAUGUCAAGAUGACAACACAUAUUUCCUUCAACUACUAUGGAUUUUUCAUUAAUAAAAUACAUGCUUGAUGGCUGCUUGUCUAAAAUUUAUUUGUUUAAUAUUCUUUGUUUGUAAGCCCAAGAAUUUGUAAAACUAGGAAAUAAUUCCAAUGAAAGAUCGGUAAAUUUUUUCCUUGCUGCUACAGUUUCCUCUGGAUCCUCUUGAUGCAGGACCGAAUGCAUAUUCUGGUGGCGGUGGCGUCUUUGUUGACGAUGGCAUCAAACAAUCCAGUGAGACCAAACUUGCCCUUGCCGAGCACUAGGGCAAGAACAUGGCCUCAACAGUGAAGAAGCUAGCUCAACAUGCCUGAGCCAGCUGCUCCUAUGUAGUAAAACGUCACAC
Molecule: long non-coding RNA, 1260 nt
Organism: Zea mays
Lineage: Eukaryota; Viridiplantae; Streptophyta; Magnoliopsida; Poales; Poaceae
Exons: 7
Source: RefSeq, a predicted model, not a curated record